GAGUUUGAUCCUGGCUCAGAUUGAACGCUGGCGGCAUGCCUUACACAUGCAAGUCGAACGGCAGCAUGAUCUAGCUUGCUAGAUUGAUGGCGAGUGGCGAACGGGUGAGUAAUACAUCGGAACGUGCCCUGUAGUGGGGGAUAACUAGUCGAAAGAUUAGCUAAUACCGCAUACGACCUGAGGGUGAAAGUGGGGGACCGCAAGGCCUCAUGCUAUAGGAGCGGCCGAUGUCUGAUUAGCUAGUUGGUGGGGUAAAGGCCCACCAAGGCGACGAUCAGUAGCUGGUCUGAGAGGACGAUCAGCCACACUGGGACUGAGACACGGCCCAGACUCCUACGGGAGGCAGCAGUGGGGAAUUUUGGACAAUGGGCGAAAGCCUGAUCCAGCAAUGCCGCGUGUGUGAGAAGG
RNAcentral lists this ribosomal RNA (408 nucleotides) under uncultured microorganism. Its description in RNAcentral is "bacterial SSU rRNA". It matches the Rfam family "Bacterial small subunit ribosomal RNA", at positions 9 to 413 of the family's 1533-position model. The record is from RNAcentral.